CGGGCCCUACGGGGCGCAGCAGUGAGGAAUAUUGGUCAAUGGACGGGAGCCUGAACCAGCCAAGCCGCGUGAGGGAAGAAGGUACAGCGUAUCGUAAACCUCUUUUGUCAGGGAACAAAGGCGGGGACUAGUCCCCGGAUGAGGGUACCUGAAGAAAAAGCAUCGGCUAACUCCGUGCCAGCAGCCGCGGUAAUACGGAGGAUGCGAGCGUUAUCCGGAUUUAUUGGGAUUAAAGGGUGCGCAGGCGGCCUGUUAACUCAGC
This 262-nucleotide ribosomal RNA is filed under the name uncultured bacterium. Its description in RNAcentral is "partial 16S ribosomal RNA". It matches the Rfam family "Bacterial small subunit ribosomal RNA", at positions 333 to 592 of the family's 1533-position model. The record is from RNAcentral.